CUACGUGCCAGCAGCCGCGGUAAUACGGAAGGUCCGGGCGUUAUCCGGAUUUAUUGGGUUUAAAGGGAGCGUAGGCCGGGGAUUAAGUGUGUUGUGAAAUGUAGACGCUCAACGUCUGACUUGCAGCGCAUACUGGUUCCCUUGAGUACGCACAACGUUGGCGGAAUUCGUCGUGUAGCGGUGAAAUGCUUAGAUAUGACGAAGAACUCCGAUUGCGAAGGCAGCUGACGGGAGCGCAACUGACGCUUAAGCUCGAAGGUGCGGGUAUCGAACAGGAUUAGAUACCCUGGUAGUCCGCACGGUAAACGAUGGAUGCCCGCUGUUGGUACCUGGUAUCAGCGGCUAAGCGAAAGCAUUAAGCAUCCCACCUGGGGAGUACGCCGGCAACGGUGAAACUCAAAGGAAUUGACGGGGGCCCGCACAAGCGGAGGAACAUGUGGUUUAAUUCGAUGAUACGCGAGGAACCUUACCCGGGCUUGAA
This 481-nucleotide ribosomal RNA is filed under the name uncultured bacterium. RNAcentral's name for it is "bacterial SSU rRNA". It matches the Rfam family "Bacterial small subunit ribosomal RNA", at positions 501 to 985 of the family's 1533-position model. The record is from RNAcentral.